GACAGAGGUGGCGAGCGUUGUUCGGAAUUAUUGGGCGUAAAGCGCGUGUAGGCGGCGAUUUAAGUCGGGUGUGAAAGCCCUCAGCUCAACUGAGGAAGGGCGCCCGAGACUGAAUGGCUUGAGUGCCGAAGAGGGUGGCGGAAUUCCCCAAGUAGAGGUGAAAUUCGUAGAGAUGGGGAGGAACACCGGAGGCGAAGGCGGCCACCUGGGAGGUAACUGACGCUGAGACGCGAAAGCGUGGGGAGCAAACAGG
Molecule: ribosomal RNA, 253 nt
Filed under: uncultured bacterium
Lineage: Bacteria
Description: partial 16S ribosomal RNA
Rfam family: Bacterial small subunit ribosomal RNA
Source: RNAcentral